RNAcentral lists this long non-coding RNA (441 nucleotides) under Fukomys damarensis (Damara mole-rat). Its description in RNAcentral is "lncRNA (ENSFDAG00000031656.1)". The record is from RNAcentral. Lineage: Eukaryota; Metazoa; Chordata; Mammalia; Rodentia; Bathyergidae.
CUUCCCAGCUCGGAGGAGACGCUGCUCCUGCAGACUGCUUGUUGGAACCCUGGUAUCCAUCGGAUGUUAGGAUUUGUCGUUGCAUCUGACGCCGGCAGAGGGCGUCCAAGGUUCAGGGUGUCACGGAGGCAGAGAAGGCUUGGAAGACCAGAGCCUUGAGAUGCUUUUUCAACAAACUCAAACCAGUCUUUGUGGACACAGAGCAGGAGUCAAAUCCCCAGGAUUAAAUUCGCCCCCUCUAAAAAGCAUUUCAUACCAUUCUGGAGCAAGAGCCACCAUGAAGCCACCUGCCACCUGCAAUACAGUCCACAAACCAUCAGAAUACCUGUGUCCGUACCUCUGGCAAUGGUGUCCGGUCAUUUGUGACUUCUACCUGGUCUACAAGAGGGAAAGACUGAAGAAAACUCAAAAAGAACACCAUUACAAAGAGUAACCCAGAAC